CCAUGCAAGUCUAAGUAUAAGCAAUUGUACGGCGAAACUGCGAAUGGCUCAUCAAAUCAGUUAUCGUUUAUUUGAUAGUGCCAUACCACUCGGAUAACCGUGGUAAUUCUAGAGCUAAUACGUGCCAAAGCCGCGACUUCGGGAGCGGGGUGUUUAUUAGAUCAAAGACCAACGCCCUUCGGGGCUCGCUGGUGAUUCAUGAUAACCUUUCGAAUCGCACGGCCUUGCGCCGGCGAUGGCUCAUUCAAAUUUCUGCCCUAUCAACUUUCGACUUUAGUGUAGUGGACUAAAGUGGUUGCAACGGGUAACGGAGGGUUAGGGCUCGACCCCGGAGAAGGAGCCUGAGAAACGGCUACUACAUCCAAGGAAGGCAGCAGGCGCGCAAAUUACCCAAUCCCGACACGGGGAGGUAGUGACAAUAAAUACUGAUACAGGGCUCUUUGGGUCUUGUAAUCGGAAUGAGUACAACUUAAAUCCCUUAACGAGGAACAAUUGGAGGGCAAGUCUGGUGCCAGCAGCCGCGGUAAUUCCAGCUCCAAUAGCGUAUAUUAAAGUUGUUGUGGUUAAAAAGCUCGUAGUUGAACCUGGGCCCCGCGCCCGCCGGUCCGCCUCACCGCGUGCACUGGCGCGGCCGGGGCUUUCACCUGGGGAUCCGCAUGCCCUUCGCUGGGCGUGCGAGGAACCAGGACCUUCACUGUGAAAAAAUUAGAGUGUUCAAAGCAGGCCUAUGCUCGGAUACAUUAGCAUGGAAUGAUGAAAUAGGACGCGCGGUUCUAUUUUGUUGGUUAUGGGACCGCCGUAAUGAUUAAUAGGGACGAUCGGGGGCGUCAGUAUUCGGCUGUCAGAGGUGAAAUUCUUGGAUUUGCCGAAGACUAACUACUGCGAAAGCAUUCGCCAAGGGUGUUUUCAUUAAUCAGGAACGAAAGUUAGGGGAUCGAAGACGAUCAGAUACCGUCGUAGUCUUAACCAUAAACCGUGCCGACUAGGGAUCGGGCGAUGUUGCUUA
Molecule: ribosomal RNA, 1006 nt
Filed under: Matsusporium tropicale
Lineage: Eukaryota; Fungi; Ascomycota; Sordariomycetes; Lulworthiales; Lulworthiaceae
Description: SSU rRNA
Rfam family: Eukaryotic small subunit ribosomal RNA
Source: RNAcentral